This 310-nucleotide ribosomal RNA is filed under the name uncultured bacterium. RNAcentral's name for it is "bacterial SSU rRNA". It matches the Rfam family "Bacterial small subunit ribosomal RNA", at positions 28 to 334 of the family's 1533-position model. The record is from RNAcentral.
GAUGAACGCUGGGCGGCGUGCUUAACACAUGCAAGUCGAGCGAUGAAGUUUCCUUCGGGAAACGGAUCAGCGGCGGACGGGUGAGUAACACGUGGGUAACCUGCCUCAUAGAGUGGGAUAGCCUUCCGAAAGGAAGAUUAAUACCGCAUAAUGUUGAAAGAUGGCAUCAUCAUUUAACCAAAGGAGCAAUCCGCUAUGAGAUGGACCCGCGGCGCAUUAGCUAGUUGGUGGGGUAACUGCCUACCAAGGCGACGAUGCGUAGCCGACCUGAGAGGGUGAUCGGCCACAUUGGGACUGAGACACGGCCCAG